GCAAAAACGUUUCACACCAUAUAAGUAUUUUUUUCUUUGAUAAUUAAAAAAAAUAUCUGGAGGGGCCUAUAAAAAGCCUUGUUCCUCACUUGCAACGAUACAAAUAGAACGAGACACGACAAAGACAAAUUGUUGAAAUGUUUCGACUUGUGUUUGUGUUACUACUACAUAUGUAGAGAUGAAACUAUAUUGGAUUGAGAGGGCGUGGAGAUAAUUCUAGGCUACAUAUUUGAAAACAAAAAGUUUUUAGAAGAAGUCCUUACUCACCCCUUCAUCAAGGGUGUCUCUUAUAAGCAUCUCAAGUUCAUUGGAGACAUCAUUCUGAAUCUCUAUCAUCAAGUAUCUAUCUUUUUAUUGUUUAUCUUUUUUGUUAAUCCUAACCAAUAUUCUUUUUCAUUCGUGUUUGUAACACUAAUAAGGAUUGACACAAUUGAUAAUGACUUGUGUCUUUUAACAAGUAAUGCAAAGUUCGAAAUUUUUAUUAGCAUUUAGGUCAUCACCAACACCACUGAGUCCAUUUUUUAUAUUAUCUAUGUUGACCUCAACCUUGACCUUUAAACACUAUAAAUGAUACAUACGUUUACUAAUUCAUCAUAAUGAUAUCUAUUACAAAUAAUUACUAAAUAAGAUUUUGAAUCAUUAUUAGAUAAUGAAUGAUAAUAAUUAUAAAAUAUUAUUUGAUAAGGUUUUAGCAAUCAAUUCAUUAUUGAUGAUAAUAAAUGAUAACUAUUAUAAAUCAUUAUUGGAUUAUGUUUUAAAUUGCACUGAUGACAUGUUUUGUGAAAAAAUGUUUUAUCAAUUGUGAUUGUUACAGGUAAUUAGGCAUGUUUUGGAGCUGAUGGUGAGACACUGGAUGUACAUCAAAAUAUUGAUGAGCUUUGUCACAUCAAAACAUGGCCCAAACCAAAGUACAUAUUGCCUAAGGAAAGUCGACCCAAUUUGAGAAAGCAAAUUCCAGUUUGCCUAUGAAAAGUUGACUCCUCAUUCUCAUGGUUGAGUAACUCCUUGAUCACGUGAAGAUAAUAACAGGUCACGUUUUAGUUCCGUUAUUCUGGCUGCAAUUCUGUGAUUGCUGGAUAGCAAGUCUGUGAUUUCACUGCUCCUGUGUACACAUUCGUAAUCAUGUUGAGCAUAGUGAUCGAUUGUAGUGAUUCUGGUCCAGUCUUGUGCUUUGUUGCUAUCUGAAUUUAAUUUUGUUGCUAGAAACAUUUAGUAGAUGCCUAGUCUGUAUAUGGACUUUAGUGAAGUGCUAUGUUAGAUUGUUGAUAACAUUCAUCAAAAUUUGAUACCAAAAGCAACAAACAAUAUUGUCGAACCAGUGAUGCUAUAUCGGUGGCAGCGUUAUCAUUAUCAGCAAAAGAGAGAGUACAAAUAAAAUAACAAGAGUGCACAACACCAGUGAUGCCACCAGAACAAGCCAGAAAAAAAAAAAAAAA
Molecule: long non-coding RNA, 1436 nt
Organism: Glycine soja
Lineage: Eukaryota; Viridiplantae; Streptophyta; Magnoliopsida; Fabales; Fabaceae
Exons: 2
Source: RefSeq, a predicted model, not a curated record